GUACGCCUACGGGGGGCAGCAGUGAGGAAUAUUGGUCAAUGGUCGGGAGACUGAACCAGCCAAGCCGCGUGAGGGAGGAAGGUACAGAGUAUCGUAAACCUCUUUUGUCAGGGAACAAAGGCGGGGACGUGUCCCCGGAUGAGUGUACCUGAAGAAAAAGCAUCGGCUAACUCCGUGCCAGCAGCCGCGGUAAUACGGAGGAUGCGAGCGUUAUCCGGAUUUAUUGGGUGUAAAGGGAGCGUAGACGGCAGGGCAAGUCUGGAGUGAAAGGCAGGGGCCCAACCCCUGGACUGCUCUGGAAAAUG
RNAcentral lists this ribosomal RNA (305 nucleotides) under uncultured bacterium. RNAcentral's name for it is "bacterial SSU rRNA". It matches the Rfam family "Bacterial small subunit ribosomal RNA", at positions 333 to 635 of the family's 1533-position model. The record is from RNAcentral.